AUCUCUGACAGACCUGGAGCAGUUGAAGCCUGCUGCUAAUGUUUCCACUAUACGAGAAAAAGAAGGUCCUCAUGCUUUCUGUUUGUCUGGUUAUGGUAGCCAAGAUUGAAUGGGGGAGUACAGGA
RNAcentral lists this small nucleolar RNA (125 nucleotides) under Dasypus novemcinctus (nine-banded armadillo). Its description in RNAcentral is "Small nucleolar RNA SNORA31 (ENSDNOG00000030128.1)". Lineage: Eukaryota; Metazoa; Chordata; Mammalia; Cingulata; Dasypodidae. The record is from RNAcentral.